GACGAACGCUGGCGGCGUGCUUAACACAUGCAAGUCGAACGGAAAGGCCUGCUUUCCCUUGUGGAUUGCGGGUACUCGAGUGGCGAACGGGUGAGUAACACGUGAGUGAUCUGCCCCCAACUUGGGUAUAAGCCUGGGAAACUGGGUCUAAUUCCCGAUAGGACUGCAGGGUGGUGCCUGUGGUGGAAAACGAUUUUCUAGUGGUUGGGGAUGAGCUCGCGGCCUAUCAGCUUGUUGGUGGGGUAAUGGCCUACCAAGGCGGCGACGGGUAGCCGGCCUGAGAGGGUGGACGGCCACAUUGGGACUGGGAUACGGCCCAGACUCCUGCGGGAGGCAGCAGUGGGGAAUAUUGCACAGUGGGCGGAAGCCUGAUGCAGCGACGCCGCGUGGGGGAUGACGGGCUUCGGGUUGUAAACUCCUUUCGACCGCGAGGAAGCCACCUGGUUGGAAGGGUGGUGACGGUAGUGGUAGAAGAAGCACCGGCUAACUACGUG
Molecule: ribosomal RNA, 494 nt
Filed under: uncultured bacterium
Lineage: Bacteria
Description: partial 16S ribosomal RNA
Rfam family: Bacterial small subunit ribosomal RNA
Source: RNAcentral